RNAcentral lists this unclassified non-coding RNA (206 nucleotides) under Hevea brasiliensis (rubber tree). Lineage: Eukaryota; Viridiplantae; Streptophyta; Magnoliopsida; Malpighiales; Euphorbiaceae. The record is from RNAcentral.
CCCUGCUUAGUUUCAACAGCAUCAUCCCCUGCAAAACCAAAUCACACACCAAAAAAAAACACAUCGUUUUGGUUCUUUCGAACUGGAACCUCCUAAUCUAUUUCUUCCUGAAUUGAUAUAAACUCCAUAAAUUUGAUUCAUUUGGAUGGGACAGUCAAUGACUGGUUCUCAAGCAUGCUUGUGUUGGCAUCAAUGACAACUCCAAC